Long non-coding RNA from Sebastes umbrosus (honeycomb rockfish), 254 nucleotides. RefSeq lists it as uncharacterized. The record is from RefSeq and is a predicted model, not a curated record. The transcript is spliced from 3 exons. NCBI's taxonomy places the organism in Eukaryota, Metazoa, Chordata, Actinopteri, Perciformes, Sebastidae.
CCGGCGAAGUAGUCUCCUAGCAGCGAGGAGCGAGGCAGAGGGACCGCGACGCAGCGCUGUCUGCUGUUGAGCUCAUUUCUGUAGCAUGGUGGAAUUAGCAAGGUUGCUAGCUAACUAGUCAGUCAUUAAAUGAGUAAAAUUGAACAACUUAAUGCCUCAUCCACACACUCUUAUCACAGCGUAGGAAAGCACAGUGCUACCGCCAGAUGAGUGAUAACUUUGUUCGGCUCAUUUCCUGUUUUUUCAUGACAGCA